RNAcentral lists this ribosomal RNA (235 nucleotides) under uncultured Eubacteriales bacterium. RNAcentral's name for it is "uncultured Clostridiales bacterium partial 16S ribosomal RNA". It matches the Rfam family "Bacterial small subunit ribosomal RNA", at positions 99 to 334 of the family's 1533-position model. The record is from RNAcentral. Lineage: Bacteria; Bacillati; Bacillota; Clostridia; Eubacteriales.
CGAACGGGUGAGUAACGCGUGAGCAACCCGCCUAUGACAGUGGGAUAGCCUCGGGAAACCGGGAUUAAUACCGCAUAAAAUCGUAGAAACACAUGUUUUAACGGUCAAAGAUUUAUCGGUCAUAGAUGGGCUCGCGUCUGAUUAGCUAGUUGGUGAGAUAACAGCCCACCAAGGCGACGAUCAGUAGCCGGUCUGAGAGGAUGAACGGCCACAUUGGAACUGAGACACGGUCCAA